Medicago truncatula (barrel medic) is the source of this 72-nucleotide transfer RNA. It matches the Rfam family "tRNA". From Rfam's summary of the family: Transfer RNA (tRNA) molecules are approximately 80 nucleotides in length. Their secondary structure includes four short double-helical elements and three loops (D, anti-codon, and T loops). The record is from Rfam. NCBI's taxonomy places the organism in Eukaryota, Viridiplantae, Streptophyta, Magnoliopsida, Fabales, Fabaceae.
GCCCUUAUAGCUCAGUGGUAGAGCAUCAGUCUUUUCAACUGAAGGUCCGUAGUUCGAUCCUACGUGAGGGUA